UUUGCAUAAUCAGGGGCUCUCCAAAUGAAAAAUAGGUAACUUCCAGAGCUGGCCCCAGCAAAUAGGUAAUGAAACAGUCCUUUAUUCCUGGAGCUAGUAGCACUUCUGUGCCUGUUGAGCAUAACAGCAGUCAACCCAUUUUUGAUUCCCACAGAAAACCCUGCACUGUUGGCGAGUCUUUCUGGGGAAAUCUAGGGACUAAUAUGGAAACUAAUGGAGCAGGAAGUGAACAAACAGACGAGCGGAUGAGACAAUGGGUUAUCAUGCUGGUUGGAAGUCAGGCAGGCUCAGCAGUGGGGGCCCAUUUUGGAAGAUCUAACAUUCCCUCACCAUUUUUCCUUCCUUGAUGAAGAGGAUGAGAAAUUACUGUGAAGGAGACUUGGACAAAAAUUGUGAUAUAGAAAGAGUUGAUACCUGAUGCCCUUCCUUCGUGAUCCUCCCCUUUCAAGAGCCUUUAACUCUUCCCACCUAACUAAGCAUGAAAGCAAAACAUUUCCAAAUAUAUGUAUGUUUUCUGAGCCAGCACCCUCAGAGUAUAUAUCCUGGCUACCCAGGGAGUAUCAUUGCUCCAGAAGCUCCAUGGUUUAUGAACUAAACAGAAUGAAGCUUUUAUAAAACUCAAGGCUGAGGCAGGAUGGAAAUUCCCAGUCCUCUCAUUUCUAAGUGCCUCACAUCAUAGGCACAUGAAUAUAAAUUCUGUCUCACUGCGGCAUUUGUCAAAGCAAUGGGAGAGCUGAACUGGGGAGGCAUGCCCUUCAGAGAGGAGUUAGUUUUCCAUAAGAACUCUAAAGUGCAGAAGUACUGCUAGGAGACAUAUCCUGGUAUCCUGAUGGGCUAUGUGGUCAGAAAUUAAGACUCUUUCUCCUACAUUCUCGGGAAAGAGUUUGGAAAUCCAAAUCGUUGGACCCAGACUUGCAAAGUACACUUCCAAGAACACAUUGUCAGUGGCAGCGUUAAAUCUGGAAACUUUGUCGUUUACUCCAACUCUGGUGCUUUUUCCUCUGCAUUAUGUUGCGUCCAGCCCCUUCAAUUGUCUUUAACUCCAUGAAAAAAGGUACCUUUUAGAUCAAGGAUAGAAGAAAGAGGACACUGGAUAAAGGUUAGCAGAUCUGGGCUUUCUCAUCAGUAAAAUGGAACUAACUUCUCUGGGUGGCUGAGAAAACUAAAUGAGAUAUGCCAUCAAAAGUGUAAGGGGCUUGCACACAACAGGGGCCUAUAAGAUUCAUUUGAAUUGGAUCCCCUUCUGUUUAUCUCUAUGUGGAGUUGCAGGUUUCAUUCUGGUUAAUGUUUCAGUGGAACAGUCACACUUCCCAAUCUGCUGUCUUAUGCUAUCUCACUGGCCCUCAGGCAUUCUAGGCUUUCAAAGAGCUGACUCAGAGAAAGCUAUAAAAUGUUACCUCUCAUUCUUCCUAGAGCCUAUCCCCCGAGAAAGGGCUUAGGACCUCAACUGCAGAUUAGAAAAAGCAAUGCCAUUUUAUCUUCCCUUCCUCCAUAGUUGUGAAUUGAGCAGAAAAUUUAAAAUAGUUUAAAUGAUGGCUUUAUCCCAAUCAGAAUUAAACCUUGCUCUUGGUCA
Molecule: non-coding RNA, 1573 nt
Organism: Vicugna pacos (alpaca)
Lineage: Eukaryota; Metazoa; Chordata; Mammalia; Artiodactyla; Camelidae
Source: RefSeq, a predicted model, not a curated record